CGGCUCAGUAACACGUCGACAACAUACCCUGAUGCCGGAGAUAACCUCGGGAAACUGAGGAUAAUAUCCGAUAGGUGUAGGAAACUGGAAUGUUCCAACACUGAAAGAUUCGUCACAACAGGAUUGGUCGGCGGCGGAUUAGGUCGUUGGCGGUGUAAUGGACCACCAAGCCGAAGAUCCGUAAGGGCCAUGAAAGUGGUUGCCCUGAGAGGGAAACUGAGACACAGUUCCCAGCCCUACGGGGUGCAGCAGUCGGGAAAACUUCGCAAUGCACGUAAGUGUGACGAGGGAACUCUCAGUGCUUAGGUUAUACCUAGGCUUUUGCCAAGACCAAGACUCUUGGCGAAUAAGUGGUGGGCAAGACUGGUGCCAGCCGCCGCGGUAACCCCAGCGCCACGAGUGGGAAUCGCUUUUAUUGGGUCUAAAGCAUCCGUAGCCGGUCUGUUACAUGUUCUGUGAAAUCGUGGCGCUUAACGUCACGGUGUGCAGAGCACACGGACAGACUUGGGACCAGGAAAAGUGUUCGGUAUUCCAGGGGGAGCGGUAAAAUGUGAUAAUCCUUGGAGGACCACCAAUGGCGAAGGCAGAACGCUAGAAUGGAUCCGACGGUGAGGGAUGAAAGCUAGGGGAGCGAUCCG
Molecule: ribosomal RNA, 638 nt
Filed under: uncultured archaeon
Lineage: Archaea
Description: bacterial SSU rRNA
Rfam family: Archaeal small subunit ribosomal RNA
Source: RNAcentral